Molecule: ribosomal RNA, 460 nt
Filed under: uncultured bacterium
Lineage: Bacteria
Description: partial 16S ribosomal RNA
Rfam family: Bacterial small subunit ribosomal RNA
Source: RNAcentral
CCUACGGGAGGCAGCAGUGAGGAAUAUUGGUCAAUGGACGAGAGUCUGAACCAGCCAAGUAGCGUGAAGGAUGACUGCCCUAUGGGUUGUAAACUUCUUUUAUAUGGGAAUAAAAUGUUCCACGUGUGGGAUUUUGUAUGUACCAUAUGAAUAAGGAUCGGCUAACUCCGUGCCAGCAGCCGCGGUAAUACGGAGGAUCCGAGCGUUCUCCGGAUUUAUUGGGUUUAGAGGGAGCGUAGGUGGAUUGUUAAGUCAGUUGUGAAAGUUUGCGGCUCAACCGUAAAAUUGCAGUUGAAACUGGCAGUCUUGAGUACAGUAGAGGUGGGCGGAAUUCGUGGUGUAGCGGUGAAAUGCUUAGAUAUCACGAAGAACUCCGAUUGCGAAGGCAGUUCACUGGACUGCAACUGACACUGAGGCUCGAAAGUGUGGGUAUCAAACAGGAUUAGAUACCCCAGUAGUC